AGAGUUUGAUCCUGGCUCAGGAUGAACGCUGGCGGCGUGCUUAACACAUGCAAGUCGAACGUGAGGGGGUAGCAAUAUCCUUGAAAGUGGCGCACGGGUGAGUAAUACGUAGGUAACCUGCCCUGAAGAGGGGGAUAACAGCUGGAAACGGCUGCUAAGACCGCAUGACACCGGGUGCUCGGGAGGGCGACUGGUGAAAGCUCUGGUGCUUCAGGAGGGGCCUGCGGCCGAUUAGCUAGUUGGCGGGGUAAUGGCCCACCAAGGCAGUGAUCGGUAGCUGGUCUGAGAGGACGAUCAGCCACACGGGAACUGAGACACGGUCCCGACUCCUACGGGGGGCAGCAGUGAGGAAUAUUGGGCAAUGGGCGGAAGCCUGACCCAGCAACGCCGCGUGGAGGAAGACGGCCUUCGGGUUGUAAACUCCUUUUUUGGGGGAAGAGCGAGGACGGUACCCCAAGAAUAAGUCACGGCUAACUACGUGCCAGCAGCCGCGGUAAUACGUAGGUGACGAGCGUUAUCCGGAAUUACUGGGCGUAAAGCGCACGCAGGCGGUGCGUUAAGUCUGACGUGAAAUCUCCCGGCUUAACUGGGAGGGGUCGUUGGAGACUGGCGUGCUUGAGGCGGUGAGAGGGGUGCAGAAUUCCCGGUGUAGUGGUGGAAUGCGUAGAUAUCGGGAGGAAUACCAGUGGCGAAAGCGGUACCCUGGCACUGGCCUGACGCUCAGGUGCGAAGGCGUGGGGAGCGAACGGGAUUAGAUACCCCGGUAGU
RNAcentral lists this ribosomal RNA (768 nucleotides) under uncultured bacterium. Its description in RNAcentral is "bacterial SSU rRNA". It matches the Rfam family "Bacterial small subunit ribosomal RNA", at positions 8 to 794 of the family's 1533-position model. The record is from RNAcentral.